AACUACAUUAGUAGGUUGAGCAGGACGCAUAUGGAAAAAAUAGGAUAUAUUCCUUGUUUUGCAAACAGUCCAUAAUAAAGCACCAGAACCAAUAGAUACAACGGCUCUACUCUUUGCUAGUAUAGGUCGGCAGCCAAUUUUGAUAGAGACCAAAGAAGGAUGUGGGCGUUGACUAUACCUCAAGUACAGUAUAUGGUUUCUAACCCCCGCGUCGCCUCCCCCGGCGGCGGCGGGGGAACCCUAGCCGCACUGCCUCGGCACCCUCCCCACCUCGUCCCACCUCGCCGCCGCCUGAGGCCGCCACCGGGCAAGCCCGGGGCGCCAAGGAUGGUGGCGGCGGGGUCUCGGCUGCCCUGCCUCUGCGUGGAGAGUCUCAGAUCUGGAGUGGCGGCUCCUUUUGGCGAGGCACGGCAAGCUCCGGUGAGCAGCCGUGUGGAUAUAUGGAAAAAAUAGGAUAUAUUCCUUGUUUUGCAAACAGUCCAUAAUAAAGCACCAGAACCAAUAGAUACAACGGCUCUAUCUUUGGUAGUAUAGGUCGGCAGCCAAUUUUGAUAGAGACCAAAGAAGGAUGUGGGCGUUAUGGGGUUACCCAAUGCCCCAGAAACCACAUUCCAUUGACACAGGAGACUAAUAUUCCUAACUUCAAGAUUAGUAACUCCCAACCCCCUCGAUCUCUAGGAUGACAAACAUCCAACCAGAUAACCAACCGAUACUUUUACACUCCAUCCUUCUCUUGCCAACAAACUAUACAAGCACGAAAGAAAUCAAGUCUCUUACCAACACCUCUAGGCCAACGAAAAAGGGACAAUAAGAGAAUAGGAAUAUUACUGACACAAGUAUCACAGAGAAUAAACGAGGCCCCAUGGAGUGAAAGAUCCCUUGCCAUGAAGCUGCCAUUUUUCAUAUUUGUCCUCAGGUGGCUCCCAAUCAAGAUUACAUAACUUUUGAAAAUGUAGAGAAAUCCCUAAAUAUCUAAAAGGAAAAUCACCUACUAUGUAAGUAAAAAUUUGAGCAUAAUCAUUCUAUUCCAGCAACGCAUCGCUAAAACAGUGGAUCUUGCUCUUCAGAACUUAAUUUUAGCCAUGUUCAAUG
RNAcentral lists this long non-coding RNA (1092 nucleotides) under Triticum aestivum (bread wheat). RNAcentral describes it as "long non-coding RNA (TAES_LNC002082)". Lineage: Eukaryota; Viridiplantae; Streptophyta; Magnoliopsida; Poales; Poaceae. The record is from RNAcentral.